AAAAAGAAAAAAAAAACUAAAAUCAAACCGUUCCUUCUCUGCCUUUCUGUUCAUACCAUCUUCACCGUCUUCGUCUUCUCUCUGUUCCGGUGAUCCUAUUUAACUCAAGAACAAUCCAUCGCCACCAUCAACAACAAUCGAUCGCACUGCUUCAUUGAAGAGCAUCUCUUUUAAGGUUAGGGUUUAUGUUGAUUUUCUGCUACAAGAAGUUGAAGGAUUGCGAGAAGAACUUUAAUCUAUUCAAUGAAGGAGAAGAAGAAGCUCCCCUGCAAUUGUUCAAUACCUCCGUAGUUAGUAAUACCUCCGUGGAUGCAAUAGAGACGAUGAAUCAAGGAGGAGGUAAUACUGAUACUUACAGUCACCAUCAGAUAAUUAUGUCCAAUUUUCAUUGAAUUGCUUAUGUGAGGGAGAAAGGGAAAUUGAAGGGAAAAAGGUAAUACCCUUAUGGAAUUGGUUAUUUUAGAUCAUGGCUCCCUCUAUCUGCUCAGCCAUCACCAACAGUUGCAAUUCCAAAUUCAGUCCCUGCAAGUCUCAGAGCACACACACCAGAACCCAUUGCCCCAUUGUUGUAGCUUCUCUGGUAGCACCAACAACAGCUCUGCAACCACCACUGAUUCCAACUCAACCUAAAUCCACCCAUUCACCAAAGCAAGCUCGGUUCUCCUCUUCUUAGUGGUAAACACCAAUUACCCAUCUAUAUGAACAUAGCAAAAAACCAAACGACCUGAAUAAUUGAGAACGACCUUUCUUUAUUUAUUUGGGAGUGCAGAUCUAACCUUAUUAGAAUUGGGAAACUUCUCUCUGAUAGAAUGUUUUGAUUAGUGUGCUUAUUAAAUCCACCAAUGCAAAAAUUAUAAUGA
Molecule: long non-coding RNA, 860 nt
Organism: Papaver somniferum (opium poppy)
Lineage: Eukaryota; Viridiplantae; Streptophyta; Magnoliopsida; Ranunculales; Papaveraceae
Exons: 3
Source: RefSeq, a predicted model, not a curated record